This 253-nucleotide ribosomal RNA is filed under the name uncultured bacterium. Its description in RNAcentral is "partial 16S ribosomal RNA". It matches the Rfam family "Bacterial small subunit ribosomal RNA", at positions 524 to 776 of the family's 1533-position model. The record is from RNAcentral.
UACGUAGGUGGCAAGCGUUAUCCGGAUUUAUUGGGCGUAAAGGGAACGCAGGCGGUCUUUUAAGUCUGAUGUGAAAGCCUUCGGCUUAACCGGAGUAGUGCAUUGGAAACUGGGAGACUUGAGUGCAGAAGAGGAGAGUGGAACUCCAUGUGUAGCGGUGAAGUGCGUAGAUAUAUGGAAGAACACCAGUGGCGAAAGCGGCUCUCUGGUCUGUAACUGACGCUGAGGUUCGAAUGCGUGGGUAGCAAACAGG